GGGCCCUCCAUACAAUUUACGAAACCUGAUGCUGCCCUCAGGCCAAAAAGUUUGCCCGCCCCUGGUUUAACUGAAAAGUAGCCUAGGUACUUCUGAGCACUAUUGGAGGAAGUGGCAGGUUACUUAUAAAGUACUGCUGCAGGCAGAUAUUUAUCACAAAGACUUCAAAGGAAACUCUCCUCUUCCCAUGAGGCCCGGCUUUGGUAAUAACAAGUGCUUGAGAGACAGGUGGCAUGCUUUUUGGUUAAACUUAACAAGGGUGAGGUGGCUAAAGUAUAGUUCCACACUGCUCCUUACCUCAUGAAUUCAGCUGCUUUGCAGGCAGCAAUUUGUGGCCUAUAUAAAUUUGGCUCUUUGUUUACAUUUUUUUCAAUAGAAAAUGAGGAUUGAAAUGACUGGACCACAGACUGCUACUGAUGGUGCAUUUGUGUUAAGCUGCCUAAGGCCUUGUCUACACACAGUUUUAUUCCAGUUUAAUUAUUUCAGGAAGGGGUAUAAUUUUUCUACUAAAAUAGUUAAAUUGGUAUAACCCUAGUUAUGGAUGCAGUUGUAUCUGUUAUAGCUUAUUCCCCUUCUUUAUAGGAAUAGCUACGCUGGUAUAAGGCACCUCUAUGCAGAUUUAACUAAAUUGACCUACUGACACUAUACCAGGAUAGUUAAAGCCGUUCAGCCCCCUGGUAUAGAUGUAGUUAUCCUGGUAUUAAAGUACUUACAUAGUAGUAUGAUACUUACCUCCUUUGUAAAGUGCUUUGAGAUUUACUAAUGCAAAGUGCUUAUGUAAGAGCUAGAUAUUAGUAUUUCUGUACAGGAAGGGGAGUAAACUAUUGUAUAACUGCAUCCACAGUAGGGCUUUUACUGGUAUAACUGCUGUAAAAAAUCACACCCCUAACCAAAAAUAAUUACACUGGUGAAACUUUUAAAUGUAAAUCAGGUUCAGAUCAGUUGUUGGCUGUGGUUAUUUAGGGUUUCCCAUGCAUCCUGCCUACCACACACAGGUUGGCAGUGACUGCACUUAUGGAAAUGACCCCAUAUGCUCAUGCCUUCUGAUGGAGAAUGCAAAGCAGAGUAGGCUUUAAAUAUCUCCUUUUAGAAGUCUGAGCUAUAUUUAACUAUUCUGGAACUGAAUGAAAUUCCCAAACAAUAUAUCCUAAGAUCAGAUGUUAAAGAAAGGGAAAAAAUUGUAUUAAAACCAAACACAAAUAAUGUAUUUGGGUCUAAGACUCCCUAGCUUUUCUCAGGUAGGUCACAAAACUUUGAAAUUGCAGAUAUUUAGAACUCUCUGUAGAUAAUACUUGUAUUAAGAACUCACUUGUUGUCCCAGUUCUUCUCUGACCUUUAACAGGACAAUAUGUGUGCCUAGGAUUGAUUGAUUGUACUUCUGGAGUCAGCUCUUUUAUACUUACUUGGCUAUGCUAUAAUACCAGGAGAGGACAACACUCGUAUGAAGAAAGAAAGAGCAGUAUGAUGGAUUCAGAAGAUCUUGUCAUAACAAGUUCAAAGCAAGAUAUUGCUCAUCACAUUGUAAAAGUUAGCUCAGGUAAACAUUACUUUUGUGGAUAUUGUGCAGCCUUCACCAAUAUAGCAAUCACCUUUCCCAUCCAGAAGGUCCUCUUUCGACAACAACUGUAUGGAGUGAGAUUAAGGGAGGCAGUAUAUCAGUUACAGAAAGAUGGAAUCCGAAACCUGUACCGUGGACUCCUCCCUCCAUUAAUGCAGAAAACUACAACUCUUGCCCUGAUGUUUGGCUUGUACGAGGAUUUCUCCUCCCUGCUCCAGAGGCACACAAACGCACCUGAACUUGUGACUUGCAGUGUGGCAGCAGUGCUUGCAGGAACAUCAGAAGCUCUUCUUACACCUUUUGAGCGGGUCCAGACUUUGCUUCAGGACUACAAACAUCAUGACAGAUUUACAAACACUUACCAGGCUUUCAGGGUGCUAAAAGACUAUGGAAUUAAAGAAUAUUAUCGGGGUUUGGUACCUAUUCUGAUCCGAAAUGGACCGAGUAAUGUACUCUUUUUUGGCCUGCGAGGACCCAUCAAGCAGUGUCUUCCCGAAGCAACUUCUUAUAGUGCUCAUUUGGUCAAUGACUUUAUCUGUGGAGGGCUGUUGGGUGCCAUGUUGGGAUUCUUGUUUUUCCCAAUUAAUGUUGUAAAAGCUCGCAUGCAGUCUCAAAUUGGUGGGGAAUUUCAGUCUUUUCCAAAAGUUUUCAUGAAGAUUUGGCUGGAACGUGAUAGAAAACUGACACAUCUUUUCAGAGGAGCCCAUCUGAAUUACCAUCGCUCUAUUAUAUCCUGGGGCAUAAUCAAUGCAACAUAUGAAUUCUUGCUUAAGUUAUUAUGAAAAAUGUUACCUUCUAUGAAGUCUCUCUGCUCAGUUGGGUAUUGGCACAUUGAGGUCACUUAUUUCCUAGGAUCAAAUUUGUCAUAAUCAGACCUGUUCAUGAAUAACACUGAAAUUUGGAGAGUUUAAUUGCAAAAUGGUGGUUACAUUUCAGUAGGGAGAGAAGUAAUUUUUACCAGUGCCUGCUUAGUCUGAAAGUUAAUUACAUUCAAUCUUAUUAAUUGUCUUCAAUCUUUAUGGGGUGAAAGUUGGCAUUGUGUUUAGAUCUUAAUUUAAGAAAAAAUGGUUUGUUCAAAAGUGCUCUCUUUAUUAAAGUAUUUAGAUGCUGGAAGGUGAAUUCAGCCAUACCUGAAUAAACUAAUUGAAACUUACUUUCUAUUUAAAUGUUGGCUGUGGCCUAGAAACUUACUCCAGGUCACCCUCAACCUUUCUUAACACUCCUGGUGAUCAAAACUAUGCUUGAUUGUGCACUUUGUGGAAUAUGAAAGUGAGGGAGGCUGACAAAAGCUAUUUAGUUUCCCUACUUGGUAAACUUGGGAGGUCUGAUGUACCUGAUGCAGUUGUUGUAAGAGUAUUCUGAACUCCCAUAAUGUUUCAGGUUUCCCAGGUAUCUUUACUGUUUGAAACCAGACUGCCAACUUUGAAUGAGGAUGGUGUUACUUCUCAACUAAGCCUACAUGAAUGGUUUUUGCUGGUCUCCUAAUAUGAAUGCCAUCUGGUCAAGCAACAUAAGUUUCUGUUGCAAACAGGCAUGGCGCCAGAAAGAAGACGUGGUUUCUGCAACAUUAACACGUACAGAAGUAGUAUGAAAACUGAUGGGAGUCAAAGUACUUUGUAGACAGCUUUUGUUGUAUUAAGGUAAUUUAUGUCCUUUUGCAACUAUUUUUACUUGCUUCAUGUGAGGUUGUAGCAUAACUGAUCACUUCAGUCAGUAUUGUUAGCUGAAGCUUGCUCCACCCUUCCUUGUAUGCCUUGUUCAGGGUAUAUCAGUGUAGUGGAAAAGGCACUCCGAUACUACGGCGAGGAGGACCAUAUAAGCGCUGGGCUUGGGGGUUUCUCUGUGAUCAUUUAAUCAUGUUGAUAAACACUCUCAUAAAUAUUAAACAGAAGUAAUGUUGUACUUGGUAUUCAGGUGGAUGUGCUUUAAGGCCUUGGAGAAGAGAAGAGAGGGCAGGAACACAAGUGUGAUUACCAAACUAGUGGUCUUCAUAUAAAAAAUGACUUUGUAUAUUUUUAUGCAAGAAGGAUUCAUAAAGUAUUUUCAUAUUUUGUGGUGAACAUGAAAGCUUUCAGAAAUUGUUUUGGAUGGUUUUUUUCUUAAUUUUAGAGUGAACAUUACUUUUUUAUGUAUCCUUAAAUUUUCAAAUGCUUAUGGUUUUUACUUUCUUACUUUAUUUCAGUUGUCCACUUGACAACCCCCUAAAUAAUUACUCCCAAACAGUAUGCCCUAUUUCUUUAUAAUCUAUAGCUCUAUACUACUAAGCUUCACAGUCAAAGAUGGCCAAACACAAAUAAAGCACAUUGAUAUUUUGAAUGUUGUGAUUAUAUGGAUUUAAAUAUACUGUCUGUUGAAUGUUUUACUGGUGAAAUCUGAUUUUACCAGUGUAUUGUUUUUGUAACCUUUCCUUGAUGGAAUAAAACAAAAGUAAAUCUGU
Chrysemys picta bellii (western painted turtle) is the source of this 3995-nucleotide non-coding RNA. Lineage: Eukaryota; Metazoa; Chordata; Testudines; Emydidae. The record is from RefSeq and is a predicted model, not a curated record.